GCAUAUCAAUAAGCGGAGGAAAAGAAACCAACAGGGAUUGCCCUAGUAACGGCGAGUGAAGCGGCAACAGCUCAAAUUUGAAAUCUGGCCUCGGCCCGAGUUGUAAUUUGCAGAGGAUGUUUCUGGCGCGGUGCCUUCCGAGUUCCCUGGAACGGGACGCCACAGAGGGUGAGAGCCCCGUAUGGUUGGACACCAAGCCUGUGUGAAACUCCUUCGACGAGUCGAGUAGUUUGGGAAUGCUGCUCUAAAUGGGAGGUAAAUCUCUUCUAAAGCUAAAUACCGGCCAGAGACCGAUAGCGCACAAGUAGAGUGAUCGAAAGAUGAAAAGCACCUUGAAAAGGGGGUUAAACAGUACGUGAAAUUGUUGAAAGGGAAGCGCUCAUGACCAGACUUGUGCCGGGCGGUUCAUCCGGGGUUCUCCCCGGUGCACUCCGCCCGGCUCAGGCCAGCAUCGGUUCUCGUUGGGGGAUAAGAACGGUAGGAACGUGGCCCUCCCUCGGGAGGGUGUUAUAGCCUGCCGUACGAUACCCUGACGGGGACCGAGGUUCGCGCUCCGCAAGGAUGCUGGCGUAAUGGUCAUCAGCGACCCGUCUUGAAACACGGACCAAGGAGUCGUCCAUUAGAGCGAGCGUUUGGGUGUAAAACCCGCACGCGUAAUGAAAGUGAAAUUAGGUGAGAGCUUCGGCGCAUCAUCGACCGAUCCUGAUGUUCUCGGAUGGAUUUGAGUAAGAGUUUUAACGGACGGACCCGAAAGACAGUGAACUAUGCUUGUAUAGGGUGAAGCCAGAGGAAACUCUGGUGGAGGCUCGCAGCGGUUCUGACGUGCAAAUCGAUCGUCAAAUAUGAGCAUGGGGGCGAAAGACUAAUCGAACUGUCUAGUAGCUGGUUACCGCCGAA
Molecule: ribosomal RNA, 897 nt
Filed under: Harknessia renispora
Lineage: Eukaryota; Fungi; Ascomycota; Sordariomycetes; Diaporthales; Harknessiaceae
Description: LSU rRNA
Rfam family: Eukaryotic large subunit ribosomal RNA
Source: RNAcentral